RNAcentral lists this ribosomal RNA (432 nucleotides) under uncultured bacterium. RNAcentral describes it as "partial 16S ribosomal RNA". It matches the Rfam family "Bacterial small subunit ribosomal RNA", at positions 29 to 507 of the family's 1533-position model. The record is from RNAcentral.
GCGAACGCUGGCGGCAGGCUUAACACAUGCCAGUCGAGCGGGCACUUCGGUGUCAGCGGCAGACGGGUGAGUAACACGUGGGAACGUACCCUUUGGUUCGGAAUAACGCUGGGAAACUAGCGCUAAUACCGGAUACGCCCUUUUGGGGAAAGGCUUGCUGCCGAAGGAUCGGCCCGCGUCUGAUUAGCUAGUUGGUGGGGUAAUGGCCUACCAAGGCGACGAUCAGUAGCUGGUCUGAGAGGAUGAUCAGCCACACUGGGACUGAGACACGGCCCAGACUCCUACGGGAGGCAGCAGUGGGGAAUAUUGGACAAUGGGCGCAAGCCUGAUCCAGCCAUGCCGCGUGAGUGAUGAAGGCCUUAGGGUUGUAAAGCUCUUUUGUCCGGGACGAUAAUGACGGUACCGGAAGAAUAAGCCCCGGCUAACUUCGUG